Molecule: ribosomal RNA, 173 nt
Filed under: uncultured bacterium
Lineage: Bacteria
Description: partial 16S ribosomal RNA
Rfam family: Bacterial small subunit ribosomal RNA
Source: RNAcentral
ACUCCUACGGGAGGCAGCAGCAAGGAAUUUUGUGCAAUGGGCGAAAGCCUGACGCAGCAACGCCGCGUGGGGGAUGAAGGCCUUCGGGUUGUAAACCCCUUUUCUCGAGGAAGAAAAAUGACGGUACUCGAGGAAUAAGUCUUGGCUAACUACGUGCCAGCAGCCGCGGUAAU